RNAcentral lists this ribosomal RNA (497 nucleotides) under uncultured bacterium. Its description in RNAcentral is "partial 16S ribosomal RNA". It matches the Rfam family "Bacterial small subunit ribosomal RNA", at positions 28 to 507 of the family's 1533-position model. The record is from RNAcentral.
GACGAACGCUGGCGGCGUGCCUAAUACAUGCAAGUAGAACGCUGAAGGAAGGAGCUUGCUCUUUCCGGAUGAGUUGCGAACGGGUGAGUAACGCGUAGGUAACCUGCCUGGUAGCGGGGGAUAACUAUUGGAAACGAUAGCUAAUACCGCAUAACAGUAGAUGUUGCAUGAUAUCUACUUAAAAGGUGCAAUUGCACCACUACCAGAUGGACCUGCGUUGUAUUAGCUAGUUGGUGAGGUAACGGCUCAACAAGGCGACGAUACAUAGCCGACCUGAGAGGGUGGUCGGCCCACCUGGGACCGGGACCCGGCCCCGAACCCUACGGGAGGCAGCAGUAGGGAAACUUCGGCCAUGGACGGAAGUCUGACCGAGCCACGCCGCGGGAGUGAAGAAGGGUUUCGGAUCGUAAAGCUCUGUUGUAAGAGAAGAAAGAGUGUGAGAGUGGAACGUUCACACUGUGACGGUAUCUUACCAGAAAGCGACGGCUAACUACGUG